AAUCAACGCUGGCGGCGUGCCUCAGACAUGCAAGUCGAACGAUUAAAGCUCUCUUCGGAGAGUGUAUAGAGUGGCGCACGGGUGAGUAACACGUAAGUAAUCUACCUUUGAGUGGGGAAUAACAGUCGGAAACGACUGCUAAUACCGCAUAAUGCAGCGGCAUCGCAAGAUGACAGUUGUUAAAGGAGCAAUCCGCUUAAAGAGGAGCUUGCGGCAGAUUAGCUAGUUGGUAAGGUAAUGGCUUACCAAGGCUACGAUCUGUAUCCGGUCUAAGAGGACGGUCGGACACACUGACACUGAAUAACGGGUCAGACUCCUACGGGAGGCAGCAGUCGGGAAUUUUGGGCAAUGGGCGAAAGCCUGACCCAGCAACGCCGCGUGAAGGAUGAAGUAUUUCGGUAUGUAAACUUCGAAAGAAUGGGAAGAAUAAAUGACGGUACCAUUUAUAAGGUCCGGCUAACUACGUGCCAGCAGCCGCAGUAAC
RNAcentral lists this ribosomal RNA (484 nucleotides) under uncultured bacterium. RNAcentral's name for it is "bacterial SSU rRNA". It matches the Rfam family "Bacterial small subunit ribosomal RNA", at positions 32 to 524 of the family's 1533-position model. The record is from RNAcentral.